RNAcentral lists this long non-coding RNA (1224 nucleotides) under Homo sapiens (human). Its description in RNAcentral is "non-protein coding lnc-NCALD-1:4". Lineage: Eukaryota; Metazoa; Chordata; Mammalia; Primates; Hominidae. The record is from RNAcentral.
CCACUCUCGCUCGCUCGCCCGCUCGCGCCCUCACCUAGCCGGAAAGGUGGGAUAAGGGGGGGCCCCUCACAUGGGGCCCGAGCUCGGAGGCGGCCGGGCGGCGCGGAGUCCUCCUGGAUCGUGGCAAUGGGCAGACACAGAGCAGAAAGUGGCGGACUUGGGCGGCCACAGGUAACUUUCUCGCAAGGAGCUGAAUUCUUUCACUAAAGGGUACAAGCCCGAGGGACGAGCUGCGCGAUGAUUGGCUGGGGAGCUCCCUCAGGUGAGCUGCCAUUGGCAGAGGCGCGCUCAGGCAGGCAUCAACAUUUACAUUGUAAUUCAAUAGACGCUACUACUACAAAGGAGCUUUAUUCUUCCAGCUUAAUAUGGUUGCUGCGGGAACACUGCAGGAUGAAACUGACUUUUUUUGUGGUAAUGUUUCUCCUGGUUGGGAACAACGCAAAUUAGCAAAGGCGUAAUUUAUAACCGCUGCUACCAAAGAGUGAAGUAUUUGUGGAAGUUCUGACUGGAAUCUAGCUCGUACAUAUGGAUUGUGGAAAUAAAGGAGGACGUGGAAAGCUUGCCAUAUUUUAUUUCAAGUUAAUACUAAAGCUGCCAGACUUAAUACAACUUUCUUUUAAUCUUUAUGGAUCACAUAUUUUCUGAAAAUUACAUGAUAAAACAAGGUUUGGUUUGUUCCAUGUGUCCAUUUUCAACAAUAAAUUUCAAAAUUGUAUUUUUAAAAAACAAUAUAAACACACACUUUAAAGAAAUAAUAUAUUUUAAGACAAUGCAGGUACUAUUUUAAUAUAAUAUUUUAAGAUAAUGCAAUACCUAUCAUGUUCCUCUCCUUUUUAGAGGCAGCCAUAUUCUGCUUUUAUCUGUCUCUUCUGUCAUUUACCUCCCUAUUUCUAAAUAAUUUGUACUGCCAUCUCUUGAUUUGCCAAUAGAUGUUGUGCUCUGACUACCUGUUGCUUCAGAUUAGGAUUUAGCUCUUUCAUGCCAAGCAACUUCUCCUUCCAACACAGCACUUUCACAGUUUAGGAGCUAAGUAAGUGACUAUGCCAAUAGCAAUGACAACACAGCCAAUAGUGUACUAUUCUUGUUUUCUUCCUUAUAAAACCUUGUAUCUAUUUACUUAGUUUGUUAUGCCCCAUCCUGAUAUUUUUCUACAACUGAUCUAUCAAAUGACUAUCAUGUUUAUUUUCCAAAUGAUCAAACAAUCAAUUCCAAUUUUGCCCUGAA